This 403-nucleotide ribosomal RNA is filed under the name uncultured bacterium. RNAcentral describes it as "partial 16S ribosomal RNA". It matches the Rfam family "Bacterial small subunit ribosomal RNA", at positions 28 to 526 of the family's 1533-position model. The record is from RNAcentral.
GACGAACGCUGGCGGCGUGCCUAAUACAUGCAAGUCGAACGCAGUGGGGACGGGUGAGUAACACGUGGGUAACCUCCCAUCAGAGGGGAUAACACUUGGCAACAGGUGCUAAACCGAUACUGAUGGAUGGACCCGCGGUGGAUGAGCUAGUUGAUGAGGUAACGGCUCACCAAGGCCACGAUACAUAGCCGGCCUGAGAGGAUGAUCGGCCACACUGGGACUGAGACACGGCCCAGACUCAUACGGGAGGCAGCAGUGGGGAAUCUUCGGCAAUGGACGAAAGCCUGACCGAGCAACCCCGCGUGAGUGAAGAAGGUUUUCGGAUCGUAAAACUCUGUUGUUAGAGAAGCGGUAUCUAACCAGAAAGCCACGGCUAACUACGUGCCAGCAGCCGCGGUAAUAC